UCCUCCCCCGUCCUAAACUAAAACUGCAGCGAUGAUUCCACACGUCGUUGUGGUAUUCAAUAGGACCAAACCAAAGCCCAUGAUUUGCUAUUCCUCUUAAGGGCAUUGGCUUGAAUAUGCGAACCUUAAUAAAGUUUAAAAUCAACAUCCACCCACC
Non-coding RNA from Drosophila pseudoobscura pseudoobscura, 157 nucleotides. Lineage: Eukaryota; Metazoa; Arthropoda; Insecta; Diptera; Drosophilidae. The record is from Rfam.